GGAUUGUGGCUCAGUGGUAGAGCGCUUGCCUAGCCUGUGUGAGGCACUGGGUUCUAUUCUCAGCACCG
This 68-nucleotide transfer RNA is filed under the name Marmota monax (woodchuck). Its description in RNAcentral is "tRNA.Ala". Lineage: Eukaryota; Metazoa; Chordata; Mammalia; Rodentia; Sciuridae. The record is from RNAcentral.